Molecule: ribosomal RNA, 425 nt
Filed under: uncultured bacterium
Lineage: Bacteria
Description: partial 16S ribosomal RNA
Rfam family: Bacterial small subunit ribosomal RNA
Source: RNAcentral
GUGGGGAAUAUUGGACAAUGGGCGCAAGCCUGAUCCAGCCAUGCCGCGUGAGUGAUGAAGGCCCUAGGGUUGUAAAGCUCUUUCACCGGUGAAGAUAAUGACGGUAACCGGAGAAGAAGCCCCGGCUAACUUCGUGCCAGCAGCCGCGGUAAUACGAAGGGGGCUAGCGUUGUUCGGAAUUACUGGGCGUAAAGCGCACGUAGGCGGGUAUUUAAGUCAGGGGUGAAAUCCCGGAGCUCAACUCCGGAACUGCCUUUGAUACUGGGUACCUAGAGUAUGGAAGAGGUAAGUGGAAUUCCGAGUGUAGAGGUGAAAUUCGUAGAUAUUCGGAAGAACACCAGUGGCGAAGGCGACAUACUGGCUCAUUACUGACGCUGAGGCGCGAAAGCGUGGGGAGCAAACAGGAUUAGAUACCCUAGUAGUCC